Molecule: ribosomal RNA, 400 nt
Filed under: uncultured bacterium
Lineage: Bacteria
Description: bacterial SSU rRNA
Rfam family: Bacterial small subunit ribosomal RNA
Source: RNAcentral
UGGGGGAUAUUGCGCAAUGGGGGAAACCCUGACGCAGCAACGCCGCGUGAAGGAUGAAGGUCUUCGGAUCGUAAACUUUUGUCUUUGGGGAAGAAUCAAUGACGGUACCCAAGGAGGAAGCCACGGCUAACUACGUGCCAGCAGCCGCGGUAAUACGUAGGUGGCGAGCGUUGUCCGGAAUUACUGGGUGUAAAGGGCGUGUAGGCGGGAUUCAAAGUCAGAUGUGAAAUACCGGGGCUCAACUCCGGGGCUGCAUUUGAAACUUGAGUUCUUGAGUGCAGGAGAGGAAAGCGGAAUUCCUAGUGUAGCGGUGAAAUGCGUAGAUAUUAGGAGGAACACCAGUGGCGAAGGCGGCUUUCUGGACUGUAACUGACGCUGAGGCGCGAAAGCGUGGGGAGCA